GACGAACGCUGGCGGCGCGCCUAACACAUGCAAGUCGAACGAGCGAGAGAGAGCUUGCUUUCUUGAGCGAGUGGCGAACGGGUGAGUAACGCGUGAGGAACCUGCCUCAAAGAGGGGGACAACAGUUGGAAACGACUGCUAAUGCCGCAUAAGCCCACGACCCGGCAUCGGGUUGAGGGAAAAGGAGCAAUCCGCUUUGAGAUGGCCUCGCGUCCGAUUAGCUAGUUGGUGAGGUAACGGCCCACCAAGGCGACGAUCGGUAGCCGGACUGAGAGGUUGAACGGCCACAUUGGGACUGAGACACGGCCCAGACUCCUACGGGAGGCAGCAGUGGGGAAUAUUGCACAAUGGGGGAAACCCUGAUGCAGCGACGCCGCGUGGAGGAAGAAGGUCUUCGGAUUGUAAACUCCUGUUGUGGAGGAAGAUAAUGACGGUACUCAACAAGGAAGUGACGGCUAACUACGUG
Molecule: ribosomal RNA, 466 nt
Filed under: uncultured bacterium
Lineage: Bacteria
Description: partial 16S ribosomal RNA
Rfam family: Bacterial small subunit ribosomal RNA
Source: RNAcentral